Molecule: ribosomal RNA, 497 nt
Filed under: uncultured bacterium
Lineage: Bacteria
Description: partial 16S ribosomal RNA
Rfam family: Bacterial small subunit ribosomal RNA
Source: RNAcentral
GACGAACGCUGGCGGCGUGCCUAAUACAUGCAAGUUGAGCGAUGAAGAUUGGUGCUUGCACCAAUUUGAAGAGCAGCGAACGGGUGAGUAACGCGUGGGGAAUCUGCCUUUGAGCGGGGGACAACAUUUGGAAACGAAUGCUAAUACCGCAUAACAACUUUAAACAUAAGUUUUAAGUUUGAAAGAUGCAAUUGCAUCACUCAAAGAUGAUCCCGCGUUGUAUUAGCUAGUUGGUGAGGUAAAGGCUCACCAAGGCGAUGAUAUAUAGCCGACCUGAGAGGGUGAUCGGCCACAUUGGGACUGAGACACGGCCCAAACUCCUACGGGAGGCAGCAGUAGGGAAUCUUCGGCAAUGGACGAAAGUCUGACCGAGCAACGCCGCGUGAGUGAAGAAGGUUUUCGGAUCGUAAAACUCUGUUGGUAGAGAAGAACGUUGGUGAGAGUGGAAAGCUCAUCAAGUGACGGUAACUACCCAGAAAGGGACGGCUAACUACGUG